UCCACGGUGGUCCAGUGGUUAGGACUUGGUGCUUUCACUGCCAGGGCCCAGGUUUGAUCCUGGUUGGGAAA
Molecule: transfer RNA, 71 nt
Filed under: Bos taurus (domestic cattle)
Lineage: Eukaryota; Metazoa; Chordata; Mammalia; Artiodactyla; Bovidae
Also listed under: 5 other names
Rfam family: tRNA
About the family: Transfer RNA (tRNA) molecules are approximately 80 nucleotides in length.
Source: Rfam by way of RNAcentral